CAUUCAUCCCCUUCGCCUGGUGGCUGGGCGAGCGACGAAUCGCCAUGGAUGGUCUCGAGUUCUUCUUUGAGGAAGCGGAAUUAAGUUGGUCCCUAGGGUGGAUGCGGUGGAUAUUUUGGGCGGCGGAGUCGCUACUGUGGAGUCCGUUGUUGCUUUCAUCCAUGAAGCUCGCGGGCGCUCAGCAUUUGAUCUCUUCUGAUCCCAUGUCCGGCAGUGGUGUCGAACUGCAAUUCCAAGAGGACGAGAAAUCGAGAAUGUCGGCUCGUACAAUGGUAUUAGUGUGAGGUAGUCAAACGAGAUGGCUCCUGAGAAUAUGACUAAUGCAACAAUGGGAGAAGAUGGAGAUGCGAAGGGUGUCGUCGUGGGCUCCUGCUGGACUCCGCGCAUUAGGGUCGGCAAAAGCGUCAGAUGAGAGGGAUGUUGACCCAAGCAGAGUGCCUGCACUUGAGGCUUUGAUGCGAGCUUACGCAGACAACAAGGCUGGUACUGUUGUUAAUCCUGCAAUCGGUACCAGUUUUGAUUCAGUCGAAGAAGCAUACGAGUUUUACAAUUUACACUCCUGGGAGACGGGCUUUGGCGUGAGGUAUGCGAAGAGCCGCCUCAUCGUCCACCCAAAAAGUGUUUGCAGGAAAUUGUGUGUGCUUGUGUGGUGGCAUAUAAGCCUGGAGCAUUCUCACAAGGUUGCGGCGCAUGACAUAGCAUCACACAUGCAACGGCAACCAGGGGGAGGGGGGGUCAGCAUCUUGCAGCUUAUCGAUCAACAUGUCCGUCAUCUUGAUUCUGAAAGGGUUCCUUGGAUCCAUGGAUCCGAUAAUCGAAAAUUGUUUUUUCAGAUAUUUAUGAAAAUUCUGUCAGAUUAUUAUCUCAUGCUUUCUUUCGGUGAAAAAAUCUGCAGGGAAAGCCAUUCAAAUCCAACAGCCGUUCGACAAGGUGUGGCUGCACUGCAUUGAUGUAGAUUCUUAGGCCUGAUGACAAAGGAUGGUACAUACGCGAACACAAAUCAGAGCACAACCAUGCAGUGGCGGAGCUUGGCCCAGAAAUCUGGGCGGGCCGGCUGUAGGAAAUUACUCUAGGGGUUGUGUUUCAUUAGCCAAAAAUACGUAUAUACUGCAGGAAAAUCGUAUGGGCUGGGCGGGCCACGGCCAAUUCGGCCUUGCCGUAGCUCCGCCACUGCAACCAUGCGCUUUCAGUUAACUGUAUGGAGAAAUUGUAUUGGAAGUUGCACCGACACAUAGAUAGAUAUGCGAGAGACCCGGCGAAGUAGCUGAGAGAGAACAACAUAAGCCUAAGCAAGGUUUACAAUGUUGUGGGGUUUUUUCUUUUUUGGAUCAGUGAAGGAGGUGCCAUUCAUGAAAGGAUCUUUGAAAACACUUUGUGGAAAACUUAAUAGAGAACAGUUGAAAAAUGAUGCCACAAAAACCAUAGAGGUGUUUAAAGC
Triticum dicoccoides is the source of this 1438-nucleotide long non-coding RNA. RefSeq lists it as uncharacterized. The record is from RefSeq and is a predicted model, not a curated record. The transcript has 3 exons. Lineage: Eukaryota; Viridiplantae; Streptophyta; Magnoliopsida; Poales; Poaceae.